AUAGCUCACUAGUCGAGUGCACUUGCGCGGAUAAUGUACCGGGGCUAAGCAUAUUACCGAAACUGUGGAUGCGUAAGCAUGGUAGGAUAGCGUAAUUAACGCGAUGAAGGAUGACCGUAAGGACAUGUUGGAGCGUUAACUAGUGAGAAUUCCGGUAUGAGUAGCGAAAGAUAGGUGAGAAUCCUAUCCACCGAAUGAGUAAGGUUUCCCCCGGAAGGCUCGUCCGCGGGGGGUUAGUCGGGACCUAAGGCGAGGCUGAAAAGCGUAGUCGAUGGACAACAGGUUGAUAUUCCUGUACCGAUAUUUAAUUGCCGAAGGAAGGACGCAGAAGGAUAAC
Molecule: ribosomal RNA, 337 nt
Filed under: Oenococcus oeni
Lineage: Bacteria; Bacillati; Bacillota; Bacilli; Lactobacillales; Lactobacillaceae
Description: bacterial LSU rRNA
Rfam family: Bacterial large subunit ribosomal RNA
Source: RNAcentral